RNAcentral lists this ribosomal RNA (459 nucleotides) under uncultured bacterium. RNAcentral describes it as "partial 16S ribosomal RNA". It matches the Rfam family "Bacterial small subunit ribosomal RNA", at positions 338 to 795 of the family's 1533-position model. The record is from RNAcentral.
CCUACGGGAAGCAGCAGUGAGGAAUAUUGGUCAAUGGCCGAGAGGCUGAACCAGCCAAGUCGCGUGAGGGAAGACGGCCCUACGGGUUGUAAACCUCUUUUGUCGGGGAGCAAAGCGAACCACGUGUGGUUCAUUGAGAGUACCCGAAGAAAAAGCAUCGGAUAACUCCGUGCCAGCAGCCGCGGUAAUACGGGGGAUGCGAGCGUUAUCCGGAUUUAUUGGGUUUAACGGGUGCGCAGGCGGAGGUGCAAGUCAGCGGUCAAAUUGCGGGGCCAAACCCCGUACUGCCGUUGAAACUGCAUCCCUUGAGUGCGCGAGAAGUAUGCGGAAUGCGUGGUGUAGCGGUGAAAUGCAUAGAUAUCACGCAGAACUCCGAUUGCGAAGGCAGCAUACCGGCGCGCAACUGACGCUCAUGCGCGAAAGCGUGGGUAUCGAACAGGAUUAGAUACCCCAGUAGUC